This 255-nucleotide ribosomal RNA is filed under the name uncultured bacterium. RNAcentral's name for it is "partial 16S ribosomal RNA". It matches the Rfam family "Bacterial small subunit ribosomal RNA", at positions 524 to 776 of the family's 1533-position model. The record is from RNAcentral.
UACAGAGGUGGCAAGCGUUGUUCGGAAUUACUGGGCGUAAAGGGCGCGUAGGCGGCCUUCUAAGUCAGACGUGAAAUCCCCCGGCUUAACCUGGGAACUGCGUCUGAUACUGGGAGGCUUGAGCAUGGGAGAGGGAUGUAGAAUUCCAGGUGUAGCGGUGAAAUGACGUAGAUAUCUGGAGGAAUACCGGGUGGCGAAGGCGGCAUCCUGGACCAUAACUGACGCUGAGGCGCGAAAGCUAGGGGAGCAAACGGG